This 492-nucleotide ribosomal RNA is filed under the name uncultured bacterium. RNAcentral's name for it is "partial 16S ribosomal RNA". It matches the Rfam family "Bacterial small subunit ribosomal RNA", at positions 29 to 507 of the family's 1533-position model. The record is from RNAcentral.
AGUGAACGCUGGCGGUAGGCCUAACACAUGCAAGUCGAACGGCAGCACAGUAAGAGCUUGCUCUUACGGGUGGCGAGUGGCGGACGGGUGAGGAAUACAUCGGAAUCUACUUUUUCGUGGGGGAUAACGUAGGGAAACUUACGCUAAUACCGCAUACGACCUACGGGUGAAAGCAGGGGAUCUUCGGACCUUGCGCGAUUGAAUGAGCCGAUGUCGGAUUAGCUAGUUGGCGGGGUAAAGGCCCACCAAGGCGACGAUCCGUAGCUGGUCUGAGAGGAUGAUCAGCCACACUGGAACUGAGACACGGUCCAGACGCCUACGGGAGGCAGCAGUGGGGAAUAUUGGACAAAGGGCGCAAGCCUGAUCCAGCCAUACCGCGUGGGUGAAGAAGGCCUUCGGGUUGUAAAGCCCUUUUGUUGGGAAAGAAAAGCAGCAGGUUAAUACCCCGCUGUUCUGGCGGUACCCAAAGAAUAAGCACCGGCUAACUUCGUG